RNAcentral lists this ribosomal RNA (497 nucleotides) under uncultured bacterium. Its description in RNAcentral is "partial 16S ribosomal RNA". It matches the Rfam family "Bacterial small subunit ribosomal RNA", at positions 28 to 507 of the family's 1533-position model. The record is from RNAcentral.
GACGAACGCUGGCGGCGUGCCUAAUACAUGCAAGUUGAGCGCUGAAGGCUGGUACUUGUACCAACUGGAUGAGCAGCGAACGGGUGAGUAACGCGUGGGGAAUCUGCCUUUGAGCGGGGGACAACAUUUGGAAACGAAUGCUAAUACCGCAUAAAAACUUUAAACACAAGUUUUAAGUUUGAAAGAUGCAAUUGCAUCACUCAAUGAUGAUCCCACGUUGUAUUAGCUAGUUGGUGAGGUAAAGGCUCACCAAGGCGAUGAUACAUCGCCGACCUGAGAGGGUGGUCGGCCGCAUUGGGACUGAGACACGGCCCAAACUCCUACGGGAGGCAGCCGUAGGGAAUCUUCGGCAAUGGACGGAAGUCUGACCGAGCAACGCCGCGUGAGUGAAGAAGGUUUUCGGAUCGUAAAACUCGGUUGGUAGAGAAGAACGUUGGUGAGAGUGGAAAGCUCAUCAAGUGACGGUAACUACCCAGAAAGGGACGGCUAACUACGUG